UAACCGUUCUGUAUUCAUCUUAAAGCCUCAGUGAUUUCGAAGCAAACAUUUCUCAGAAUCUUGGAACUUUUACUUUUGAAGUUUGCAUCUUAGGCUGUAACCAUGCUGUGACUCAGGAGCUAAAUCCAGUCGACCCACACUCAAGAGAAAUACUUGACCGCUAGUAAGCGAAGAGAUAGCCCAACGUUCUGUAUGCUCCUGAUUUCUACGUGUUCCACCUGUCUGGUCAGCAUAUCAGAAUCUUCUCUCAACUCAGAAAACCAAGUAUGCAUUACAAGGAGAUGUACCACCUCUCCUGGAUUUCAGACCCUCGAUGUCAGUUGUCGUUGUUGUGAUUUCUCAUUUGGAUCCUUGUUGCGCACACGAGGUGCCUACACAACACGCUACCAUAUUAUUAUGCAGCCCAGACCUUGUGGGUUUGCAGAAUAGCAAAAAGGUCAGAAGUGGAAUGAAAUGAAUAUUCUCCGACUGUCCCAUGCCGACGAGAACUCCCGCUCAUUCAUCAUUCUGGGCCUGAGAGCUGGCAGAGCACCCGGAAGCUGGAAGAGGAUGGAUGGAGCCCCGGAGGGGGACUCUCCCUCAGGCAGACACGAAAAGCCAGUCAGAAAGAAGCGGAGGUGUGUUCCUGCCUUUCUCCAGACCAACUUUCCUCUAGACCCCGUUGUCUGUGGGCCAGGACCUGACGGUGCCUCUUAGGGGCAGACCCUCAGCCUUCACCUCCUCCGGGACACUCCAGGCUGCCACCAGCCAUGCUCUCUGUGAUCAUUCUUUCAGAAUCAUAGUCCCUGGCAUGGGCUUUCCAAAUAUUGUGAUGGAACUGAGAAGUAUUUUAGUUCCUUAUAUGAGCCAGAUAGUAGAGGGUUGAAUGGUGGUCCCCACCCCCCCCCCACAAGUUUACACCCAUGUCUUAAUCUUUGGCACCUGCGAGUGUGACCUCAUUUGGAAAAAGGGUCUUUGCAGUUGUCAUUGGGGUCAGGAUCUCAAGAGGAGAUUAUCCUGGGUAACCCUAGGGGGCCCUGGAUCCAAUGACAAGUGUCCCUGCAAGAGACAGGAGAGAAGACCAUGUGACAAGAGAGGCAGAGAUUAGAAGAAGGGUGGGGCCAUAGGCAUAAGACACCUGCAUCUGGGAGAGGCAGGGAAGGCCUCCUCUAGACCUUUCAUUCGUGUCAUCCUGGCUUCCAGAACUGCGGGAAUAUACAUUUUUGUUGUUUUAAGCCACUCCGUUUGUGACACUUGGAGGUAACUCUAGCAAACUAAUAUAUACCCCCAAAAUAGGUUUUAGUUUUCAUUUUUGUUUUAGUUUUCCCUACAAAUAAAUUUCUUGCAAAAAUU
This is a long non-coding RNA of Leopardus geoffroyi (Geoffroy's cat), 1332 nucleotides long. RefSeq lists it as uncharacterized. NCBI's taxonomy places the organism in Eukaryota, Metazoa, Chordata, Mammalia, Carnivora, Felidae. The record is from RefSeq and is a predicted model, not a curated record. The transcript is spliced from 2 exons.